CCUACGGGAGGCAGCAGUGGGGAAUAUUGCACAAUGGGCGCAAGCCUGACCCAGCAACGCCGCGUGAAGGAAGAAGGCUCUCGGGUUGUAAACUUCCUUUGUCAGGGACGAAGCAAGUGACGGUACCUGACGAAUAAGCCAUGGCUAACUACGUGCCAGCAGCCGCGGUAAUACGUAGGUGGCAAGCGUUAUCCGGAUUUACUGGGUGUAAAGGGCGUGUAGGCGGGACUGCAAGUCAGAUGGGAAAACCACGGGCUCAACCUGUGGCCUGCAUUUGAAACUGUAGUUCUUGAGUACUGGAGAGGCAGGCGGAAUGCGUGGUGUAGCGGUGAAAUGCGUAGAUAUUAGGAAGAACACCGGUGGCGAAGGCAGUCUGCUGGACAGCAACUGACGCUGAGGCGCGAAAGCGUGGGGAGCGAACAGGAUUAGAUACCCUAGUAGUC
This 443-nucleotide ribosomal RNA is filed under the name uncultured bacterium. RNAcentral's name for it is "partial 16S ribosomal RNA". It matches the Rfam family "Bacterial small subunit ribosomal RNA", at positions 338 to 795 of the family's 1533-position model. The record is from RNAcentral.